GACAGAGGGUGCAAACGUUGUUCGGAAUUACUGGGCGUAAAGCGAGUGUAGGCGGUCUCCUAAGUCGGGUGUGAAAGCCCCGGGCUCAACCCGGGAAGUGCACUCGAAACUGGGAGGCUAGAGUAUCGGAGAGGUUGGUGGAAUUCUCGGUGUAGAGGUGAAAUUCGUAGAUAUCGAGAGGAACACCGGUGGCGAAGGCGGCCAACUGGACGAAUACUGACGCUGAGACUCGAAAGCGUGGGGAGCGAACAGG
RNAcentral lists this ribosomal RNA (253 nucleotides) under uncultured bacterium. RNAcentral describes it as "partial 16S ribosomal RNA". It matches the Rfam family "Bacterial small subunit ribosomal RNA", at positions 524 to 776 of the family's 1533-position model. The record is from RNAcentral.